GACGAACGCUGGCGGCGUGCUUAACACAUGCAAGUCGAACGGAAAGGCCCUGCUUUUGUGGGGUGCUCGAGUGGCGAACGGGUGAGUAACACGUGAGUAACCUGCCCUUGACUUUGGGAUAACUUCAGGAAACUGGGGCUAAUACCGGCUAGGAGCUCCUGCUGCAUGGUGGGGGUUGGAAAGUUUCGGCGGUUGGGGAUGGACUCGCGGCGUAUCAGCUUGUUGGUGGGGUAGUGGCUUACCAAGGCUUUGACGGGUAGCCGGCCUGAGAGGGUGACCGGCCACAUUGGGACUGAGAUACGGCCCAGACUCCUACGGGAGGCAGCAGUGGGGAAUAUUGCACAAUGGGCGGAAGCCUGAUGCAGCAACGCCGCGUGCGGGAUGACGGCCUUCGGGUUGUAAACCGCUUUCGCCUGUGACGAAGCGUGAGUGACGGUAAUGGGUAAAGAAGCACCGGCUAACUACGUG
RNAcentral lists this ribosomal RNA (468 nucleotides) under uncultured bacterium. RNAcentral describes it as "partial 16S ribosomal RNA". It matches the Rfam family "Bacterial small subunit ribosomal RNA", at positions 28 to 507 of the family's 1533-position model. The record is from RNAcentral.